Molecule: non-coding RNA, 533 nt
Organism: Pimephales promelas (fathead minnow)
Lineage: Eukaryota; Metazoa; Chordata; Actinopteri; Cypriniformes; Leuciscidae
Source: RefSeq, a predicted model, not a curated record
GAUUUGACGAGUAAGUGGCUGAAAUGAGUUGUCCAGACAUUAACAGAUGGGGAUGAAGGGAAAAACCAACAUGAAGUCACACAGAGAGUGUCAUGGAAGCCGUGUGACAAACCCUCAAUCCGUUUGGGAGAAAAUCAGAGUAAAGUUGUCCAGUGAGGGAAUGGCAAUAUUUCUCAGUAAAAUGCACCUGCGAGCGCUCGGCAUGCUGGGUAAAAUAACACUGGAUUCCGGGAAACGGGGGCCUAUUUGGAGUCUUUGCAAAACAACAUCUGCCAGUUUGCGCAGCUGAGCUGUGUUUGUUUUGUCAGGCAAGUCAUUCAGUAACUUCUCGUCUGUGAGUGAAUCACCGGCUCAGCCCACCGAGUGCAACUGUUACAUAAGAAGUGUCCACUACCCCAGCUGACCCAACUGGCCAAUCAUGAGUGACGGGAAUGGAAUGGAACUUAGAAUGUUCAGAGAAAUUCUAAAGGGAUGUUCCCUUUAUGUUUGCGGAAUGAUGAAAUGGAAUGUGCACAUGCAUAACCAAAAAAAAA